UUGCACCCAUAACUCGUUCCCUCCAAGUGGGCGGAGUCACAACCUGCAGUGACUCUCAGAUCUCACACACGUUCAGUGUGACAACAUGACUCCUAUCAGACACAGCUUGUUUCUUUUUGCUCUCUGGAUUAAAGGUCUAACAGAUGGCAGUGUCGUCACUCAGACUCCUCUGCUGUGGGUCAACCAGAGUCAGUCCACCAUCAUGAACUGCAGUCACAACAAAGAUGCUACUUACUUCCAGAUGUACUGGUACCAGCAGCUGCCGGAUCAGAACAUGAAGCUGAUAGUUUUUACGACAACAUAUCCUCCAUUCCAGUAUGAAGACGGCUUCAGCAAGGAGAAGUUUCCAGCGGACAGGAAGGACGCUCUGAGCGGAUCUCUGACGGUGAAGCAGCUGCAGCCUGAAGACAGCGGAGUGUAUUUCUGUUCAGUCAGUCAACACAGUGAUGAGGCCGAGUGAAAGAGCUGCACAAAAACCCAGCUGCUGGAGACACAGUGAAGUUACACUUCAUCAUCAGCAGGGGGAGCUCUCAAUUCAAACUAUGCAGCAUCUCAACAUUGUUACGGCCCAAGGUCUUUCCUCUGGGUC
Non-coding RNA from Xiphophorus maculatus (southern platyfish), 589 nucleotides. The record is from the annotation of a RefSeq genome assembly. Lineage: Eukaryota; Metazoa; Chordata; Actinopteri; Cyprinodontiformes; Poeciliidae.